Molecule: ribosomal RNA, 486 nt
Filed under: uncultured bacterium
Lineage: Bacteria
Description: partial 16S ribosomal RNA
Rfam family: Bacterial small subunit ribosomal RNA
Source: RNAcentral
AUUGAACGCUGGCGACAUGCCUUACACAUGCAAGUCGAACGGCAGCACGGGUGCUUGCACCUGGUGGCGAGUGGCGGACGGGUGAGUAAUACAUCGGAACAUGUCCUGUAGUGGGGGAUAGCCCGGCGAAAGCCGGAUUAAUACCGCAUACGAUCUACGGAUGAAAGCGGGGGACCUUCGGGCCUCGCGCUAUAGGGUUGGCCGAUGGCUGAUUAGCUAGUUGGUGGGGUAAAGGCCUACCAAGGCGACGAUCAGUAGCUGGUCUGAGAGGACGACCAGUCACACUGGGACUGAGACACGGCCCAGACUCCUACGGGAGGCAGCAGUGGGGAAUUUUGGACAAUGGGCGAAAGCCUGAUCCAGCAAUGCCGCGUGUGUGAAGAAGGCCUUCGGGUUGUAAAGCACUUUUGUCCGGAAAGAAAUCCUUGGCCCUAAUACGGUCGGGGGAUGACGGUACCGGAAGAAUAAGCACCGGCUAACUACGUG